This 372-nucleotide ribosomal RNA is filed under the name Panthera onca (jaguar). RNAcentral describes it as "partial large subunit ribosomal RNA". It matches the Rfam family "Bacterial large subunit ribosomal RNA", at positions 1990 to 2536 of the family's 2925-position model. The record is from RNAcentral. Lineage: Eukaryota; Metazoa; Chordata; Mammalia; Carnivora; Felidae.
GUAAUAAUGUCCACACGAGGGCUUUACUGUCUCUUACUUCCAAUCCGUGAAAUUGACCUUCCCGUGAAGAGGCGGGAAUAUGACAAUAAGACGAGAAGACCCUAUGGAGCUUUAAUUAACCGACCCAAAGAGAUCUUGAUAAUCAACCGACAGGGAUAACAUACCUCUACCAUGGGCCGACAAUUUAGGUUGGGGUGACCUCGGAGAAUAAAACAACCUCCGAGUGAUUUAAAUCUAGACUAACUAGUCGAAAGUACUACAUCACUUAUUGAUCCAAAAACUUGAUCAACGGAACAAGUUACCCUAGGGAUAACAGCGCAAUCCUAUUUUAGAGUCCAUAUCGACAAUAGGGUUUACGACCUCCAUGUUGGA